AUUGAACGCUGGCGGCAUGCUUUACACAUGCAAGUCGAACGGCAGCACAGGGAGCUUGCUCCUGGGUGGCGAGUGGCGAACGGGUGAGUAAUGUAUCGGAACGUGCCUGGUGGUGGGGGAUAACUACUCGAAAGAGUGGCUAAUACCGCAUGAGAUCUUUGGAUGAAAGCGGGGGACCUUCGGGCCUCGUGCUACUGGAGCGGCCGAUAUCAGAUUAGGUUGUUGGUGGGGUAAAGGCCUACCAAGCCUGCGAUCUGUAGCUGGUCUGAGAGGACGACCAGCCACACUGGGACUGAGACACGGCCCAGACUCCUACGGGAGGCAGCAGUGGGGAAUUUUGGACAAUGGGCGCAAGCCUGAUCCAGCAAUGCCGCGUGCAGGACGAAGGCCUUCGGGUUGUAAACUGCUUUUGUACAGAACGAAAAGUCUCUGGCUAAUAUCUAGAGAUCAUGACGGUACUGUAAGAAUAGGCACCGGCUAACUACGUG
RNAcentral lists this ribosomal RNA (488 nucleotides) under uncultured bacterium. RNAcentral describes it as "partial 16S ribosomal RNA". It matches the Rfam family "Bacterial small subunit ribosomal RNA", at positions 30 to 507 of the family's 1533-position model. The record is from RNAcentral.